Molecule: ribosomal RNA, 322 nt
Filed under: uncultured eukaryote
Lineage: Eukaryota
Description: partial 18S ribosomal RNA
Rfam family: Eukaryotic small subunit ribosomal RNA
Source: RNAcentral
CCCUUAGAUGUUCUGGGCCGCACGCGUGCUACACUGAGUGGAUCAGCGGGUCAGGUUGCGCGAAAGCGUUUCCUAAUCUUUAAAUCCGCUCGUGAUGGGGAUUGACGGUUGCAAUUUUCUGUCAUGAACGAGGAAUACCUUGUAAGCGCGGGUCAUCAUCCCGCGCUGAAUACGUCCCUGCCCUUUGUACACACCGCCCGUCGCUCCUACCGAUUGAGUGGCCCGGCGAGGCUUUGGGAUCUGAGCGGAAAGAGCGUUUCGCUGUUUCUGCUCGGAAAACUCAGUCGAACCUUAUCAUUUAGAGGAAGGAGAAGUCGUAACA